RNAcentral lists this transfer RNA (83 nucleotides) under Nematostella vectensis (starlet sea anemone). It matches the Rfam family "tRNA". From Rfam's summary of the family: Transfer RNA (tRNA) molecules are approximately 80 nucleotides in length. Their secondary structure includes four short double-helical elements and three loops (D, anti-codon, and T loops). The record is from Rfam by way of RNAcentral. Lineage: Eukaryota; Metazoa; Cnidaria; Anthozoa; Actiniaria; Edwardsiidae.
ACCAGGAUGGCCGAGUGGUUAAGGCGUUGGACUUAAGUUCCAAUGUACGAAUGUACGCGUGGGUUCGAACCCCACUCAUGGUA